UACGUAGGCAGCAAGCGUUGUUCGGAAUUACUGGGCGUAAAGAGUGUGUAGGCGGUGUUCUAAGUUUGUCGUGAAAUCUCCCGGCUUAACUGGGAGGGUGCGGCGAAAACUGGAAUGCUAGAGGAUGGGAGAGGUAAGCGGAAUUCCUGGUGUAGCGGUGAGAUGCGUAGAUAUCAGGAGGAACACCUGUGGUGUAGACAGCUUACUGGACCAUUUCUGACGCUGAGACACGAAAGCGUGGGUAGCAAACAGG
Molecule: ribosomal RNA, 253 nt
Filed under: uncultured bacterium
Lineage: Bacteria
Description: partial 16S ribosomal RNA
Rfam family: Bacterial small subunit ribosomal RNA
Source: RNAcentral